Oryza nivara is the source of this 198-nucleotide non-coding RNA. The record is from Rfam. NCBI's taxonomy places the organism in Eukaryota, Viridiplantae, Streptophyta, Magnoliopsida, Poales, Poaceae.
AAUAUACGCAGCCAUGAGUUUCAGUGUCCAAUUUUGAUUGUCGAUCUUAUUGAAUUUUUUAUGAUUAGUAUUUUUAUUGCUGUUAGAUUAUAAAAUAUGAAUAGUACUUGAUGCGUCACUUAUGUUUUUUAGUUUUUUUAAAAAAUAAAUAAUACGGACGAUUAAAGUUGGACACGGAAACUCAUGGCUGUGAUUAUU